GCCUCGGGCUGUACUGAAUGUAGCUCCUUCCUCCGAGCCUGGGGAUUGAGCCGCGAUCGCCCUCCCCAGCCCGCAGCCCCACCGCCGGGAAACUUUGCCGAUCCGGAGACUCAGGCCUGACAGCCGAACUGACGAACGGACCAACCAGCCAACCUCCGCACCUUCCUCCUUCAAUCUCAAUCCCACUCCACCCCCCUCGCUGCCUUCCCCUCCCAUCGACCUGGAUCGCGCUGUGUCUGACUGAUGGGGCAGCGGGCCACUCGGAAGAGGGGAGUCUGACUGACCGGGUUUUGGAGACUUGAAAUGUAUCAAAGUACUGAAGAUCACACAUCAACAACCAGUAGAGCUGAUCUGACUACUUAUUUGAAUUUUGCUUUCUCUUGUACCUUGCUUCAAACUUACGUAUCUUUCACACUGUGCACUGAAUCAGUUGCUGAUAUGUGUUCACGAUGAGUGGGAUGGGAGAAAAUACCUCUGACCCAUCUAGGGCAGAGACAAGAAAGCGCAAGGAAUGUCCUGAUCAGCUUGG
Vombatus ursinus (common wombat) is the source of this 529-nucleotide long non-coding RNA. RefSeq lists it as uncharacterized. The transcript is spliced from 4 exons. The record is from RefSeq and is a predicted model, not a curated record. NCBI's taxonomy places the organism in Eukaryota, Metazoa, Chordata, Mammalia, Diprotodontia, Vombatidae.